AAAUCUGCAAAGCACAAACACCAGCGGACCCAUU
This 34-nucleotide ribosomal RNA is filed under the name Morus australis (Aino mulberry). RNAcentral's name for it is "partial 18S ribosomal RNA". The record is from RNAcentral. Lineage: Eukaryota; Viridiplantae; Streptophyta; Magnoliopsida; Rosales; Moraceae.